Molecule: ribosomal RNA, 500 nt
Filed under: uncultured bacterium
Lineage: Bacteria
Description: bacterial SSU rRNA
Rfam family: Bacterial small subunit ribosomal RNA
Source: RNAcentral
AGCUUGCUCCUCUUGAGAGCGGCGGACGGGUGAGUAAUGCCUAGGAAUCUGCCUGGUAGUGGGGGAUAACGUUCGGAAACGGACGCUAAUACCGCAUACGUCCUACGGGAGAAAGCAGGGGACCUUCGGGCCUUGCGCUAUCAGACGAGCCUAGGUCGGAUUAGCUAGUUGGUGAGGUAAUGGCUCACCAAGGCGACGAUCCGUAACUGGUCUGAGAGGAUGAUCAGUCACACUGGAACUGAGACACGGUCCAGACUCCUACGGGAGGCAGCGGUGGGGAAUAUUGGACAAUGGGCGAAAGCCUGAUCCAGCCAUGCCGCGUGUGUGAAGAAGGUCUUCGGAUUGUAAAGCACUUUAAGUUGGGAGGAAGGGCAGUACAUCAGUACUUUGCUGUCCUGACGUUACCGACAGAAUAAGGCCCGGCUAACUCUGUGCCAACAGCCGCGGUAAUACAGAGGGUGCCAGCGUUUAUCGGAAUUACUGGGCGUAAAGCGCGCGUA